AAGUUAUAACAAGGUUUCUGUAAGUAAACCUACAAAAGGAUCAUUAAUAAGAUUAUACCCCUUAAAGUAGACCUCUUACCCCCUAUUUACUGUACUUAUUGCUUUAAUAGUCCUAUUAUAAGACAGGCUACUAGAGGGCCUUUAAACCUGUAUUAUUAUUGUUAUCUAAGUACUAUACAAUAGUUAAAA
RNAcentral lists this unclassified non-coding RNA (189 nucleotides) under plant metagenome. Its description in RNAcentral is "partial contains small subunit ribosomal RNA and internal transcribed spacer 1". The record is from RNAcentral.